GCCCAAUGACCCGGUGGUCGUCAGCAACCCGAGCGUCCCGUUCCACGCGGCGCUGCCCCGCACGCCCUCGGCCCAGCCCCGGCCCAUCACCAUCGUGGGCAGCGU
Molecule: long non-coding RNA, 105 nt
Organism: Nothoprocta perdicaria
Lineage: Eukaryota; Metazoa; Chordata; Aves; Tinamiformes; Tinamidae
Exons: 2
Source: RefSeq, a predicted model, not a curated record